UCUAAUAUGGCAGAUAAGUGCACUGGAUUUAAGCUCCAUAUAUAAAGAUUAAUCUUUUAUUAGAA
RNAcentral lists this transfer RNA (65 nucleotides) under Neoperla sp. FS-2017. RNAcentral's name for it is "tRNA-Leu". It matches the Rfam family "tRNA". From Rfam's summary of the family: Transfer RNA (tRNA) molecules are approximately 80 nucleotides in length. Their secondary structure includes four short double-helical elements and three loops (D, anti-codon, and T loops). The record is from RNAcentral. Lineage: Eukaryota; Metazoa; Arthropoda; Insecta; Plecoptera; Perlidae.